Molecule: ribosomal RNA, 404 nt
Filed under: uncultured bacterium
Lineage: Bacteria
Description: bacterial SSU rRNA
Rfam family: Bacterial small subunit ribosomal RNA
Source: RNAcentral
UGGGGAAUCUUGCGCAAUGGGCGAAAGCCUGACGCAGCAAUGCCGCGUGAGGGAAGAAGGCCUUAGGGUUGUAAACCUCUUUCAGCAGGGACGAAAACAGACGGUACCUGCAGAAGAAGCCCCGGCUAACUACGUGCCAGCAGCCGCGGUAAUACGUAGGGGGCGAGCGUUGUCCGGAAUCAUUGGGCGUAAAGAGCGUGUAGGCGGACUGGAAGGUCUGGUGUGAAAGCCCGGGGCUCAACCCCGGAGGGUCACUGGAAACCAACAGUCUUGAAUCUGGAAGAGGAGAGUGGAAUUCCUGGUGUAGCGGUGGAAUGCGCAGAUAUCAGGAGGAACACCAAUGGCGAAGGCAGCUCUCUGGUACAUGAUUGACGCUGAGACGCGAAAGCGUGGGGAGCGAACAG